This 515-nucleotide ribosomal RNA is filed under the name Phengodidae sp. UPOL 001351. RNAcentral's name for it is "partial 16S ribosomal RNA". The stretch from base 379 to 515 matches the Rfam family "Bacterial large subunit ribosomal RNA", at positions 2473 to 2610 of the family's 2925-position model. Lineage: Eukaryota; Metazoa; Arthropoda; Insecta; Coleoptera; Phengodidae. The record is from RNAcentral.
CAUCUUUUUUUGAAAAUGAUUAAAGAUUUCAUCUGCUCAAUGGUUAUAAAUAGCUGCGGUAAAUUAACUGUACGAAGGUAGCGUGAUAAUUUGUCUUUUUAAUGAAGGCUGGAAUGAAUGGUUGGACAAAGAGUUUACUGUCUUUUUAAAAUUAUUUGAAUUUUACUUUAGAGUUAGAAGGCUUUAAUUUCUUUAUGGGACGAGAAGACCCUAUAGAGUUUUAUUUUUAUUUUGGAAUAGAUUUUUUAUAAUUGAUUAUUUUUUUUAAUUAAUGAAUUUAGUUGGGGAAGCUUGAGGAUUAAAUAAAUUCCUUAUUUUAAAUCAUUUAUUUUUGAUUUUAUUUUAUAAGAUAGUAAGUUUAAAUUAAAUUACCUUAGGGAUAACAGCGUAAUUUUUAUUGGAAGUUCUUAUUUUAAUAAAAGUUUGCGACCUCGAUGUUGGAUUAAAAUUAAAUUGGGAUGCAGAUGUCUUGAAUUUAAGUCUGUUCGACUUUUAAAAUUUUACAUGAUCUGAGU